UUGUGGAGGAGGACGCCGAAGGUGGGGCUAAUGACUGGGGUGAAGUCGUAACAAGGUAGCCGUACCGGAAGGUGCGGCUGGAUCACCUCCUAACAGGGGGACAACAAAAUGUUUAAUAUUAUUAUUUUGUCACCUUAGGUCGAUCGGUAUCUCACGUUCUUAACUAAUUAAGAAUUUCAAUUCCUAAGUUUUUCUAGGUCACACCCAUUAUUUUCCCUGGGCCAUUAGCUCAGGUGGUUAGAGCGCACCCCUGAUAAGGGUGAGGUCCCUGGUUCAAGUCCAGGAUGGCCCAUAUCUCUAUGUUGGGGGUAUAGCUCAGUUGGUAGAGCGCCUGCUUUGCAAGCAGGAUGUCAGCGGUUCGAGUCCGCUUACCUCCACUGAUUACCACCUCUUCCAUAAUUUGUAGAAAGGGAAUUUUUUUGAGUUGUGAUAACUUCUGAACGAAUCUAGCUUCCUAAUGAAAGCAUUAAGAUGCUGGACUCAUUGAAUUAAUUUCAUUGUUUUCAGAGAACCUUGACAACUGCAUAGAUUAUUUUUAAAGACAAUAAGCAUCUUUAAUGAUGCAGAUUUAUUAUUUGUGCAAAUGCAUUAAUAACAAUUCUAAUAAGCUGAUGCUUCAAUUUUGAAGUUAUUGGUCAAGCUACAA
RNAcentral lists this unclassified non-coding RNA (646 nucleotides) under uncultured Prochlorococcus sp. RNAcentral describes it as "partial 16S-23S ribosomal RNA intergenic spacer; may also contain 16S ribosomal RNA and 23S ribosomal RNA". The stretch from base 305 to 377 matches the Rfam family "tRNA". Lineage: Bacteria; Bacillati; Cyanobacteriota; Cyanophyceae; Synechococcales; Prochlorococcaceae. The record is from RNAcentral.